This 1535-nucleotide long non-coding RNA is filed under the name Felis catus (domestic cat). RNAcentral's name for it is "lncRNA (ENSFCAG00000049157.1)". Lineage: Eukaryota; Metazoa; Chordata; Mammalia; Carnivora; Felidae. The record is from RNAcentral.
UUCCCGGGAAACACAUUCACGCAGGGCAUUAAUCUGCAGGAGAGAAUCGCUACGCUGCCCUCGCCGAAGGGUAAUCUACAUCGGCAUGCACCGUGCAGAAACAGGACCGACUCUAAGUCGCAAUUUGCACUUUCUCCUCGCAAAGCUGUACAUCGGGGGAUGUUAAAGUUCUCCGCGUGGGGGGAGCUCUCGCUUCACGUCAUAUGAAAGGGCUCUGGCUGGAUCUGGGCAGCUCAGGCAGGUGUCGAGGGGUGGGAAGCACGUUCUCUGGAAAAGCUGUGCUCCUUUAACGACGGGCUCCCGGUGUGAGGGAGAGCUGGGCUGGUCACCGUGUCUGUCCCUGUACGGGAAUCCCAGGGCUUCGGAGGAAACGUGCAUCUGCAGAGGGGCCGUGGGGAACACGCACGUUAGUAAGACCUUUCCCCCGGCCAGCGGGGGAGAAUGUAAGGUAAACAUUUGCACAAGCGAGAGAAGGCGCUGGGUCAGAUGACACAAACCAAGCGUGGCUUCAGAACCAUCCAGAGCAAGAAGCUGCACUCAGCGGGAGUCCAAGUGAUAGAAGGGACCCGGCGCUGGGUGUGUCUCACCCACGUGGCUGCCGUGGCCGGGGGGCAAGACGAUUCGUUUGGAAGCUCAACUCACAUGAUGCCACUUGGCACAGUCACUUCUCUCUUGGAGAAGCCUGCCCGGGCUGCAGACUCCUUCUACUCCAUCCCCAUGUGGCCCCUCUUCUUGAGGAAGAGGGAUGUGCAUGUGGGGGGAGCCUGCGUGCUGGGGACGGAUGCCCUCGAGCCCAAUGUGUGCGCAGACUUGUUCCCACUCAGGGACCUUCGUACCUACAUGUCUCUCUUUGCCUCACGCCCACGGCAGCUCCGGGGACUUUCGCGAUCUUGACCUCACCCUGGAAGGCCUCGAGGAGGUGAGAGGGGUCAACCCAUGUGAAGAGGGGCAGGGGUGGGAGGUAACGGGAUUGCCUGAGGCCACGUCCUGAGAGGCCCCUCCUUGCUCUUGUGUCCCCCCCAGCUCGGCCACCUCACAGCGAUGCACGGGGAUCAGAGGACACAGGGGUCAGAGGACACGGGGGUCAGAGGACACACGGGGUCAGAGGACACGGCCUUGAGCCAGGGAAUACAUUUACUGCUUAAUGACCCAUAAUUUUUAGUAAAGGAAGAACGGAACACAGCAGAAUCGAAUAGAAAGUUUGCACAUAGUAAGAGGAGGAGCCGUGUCAUCUGUGUGUUACGAGUGUGGGUGCGAGCGGUGUGUUUAGACGGGUCACCGUCACGGAGGUUUGAAAACCACUUCAUGGGGCACCUGGGUGGCUCAGUCGGUUAAGCGUCUGACUUCAGCUCAGGUCACGAUCUCACGGUCCGUGAGUUCGAGCCCCGCGUCGGGCUCUGGGCUGAUGGCUCAGAGCCUGGAGCCUGCUUCCGAUUCUGUGUCUCCCUCUGUCUCUGCCCCUCCCCCAUUCAUGCUCUGUCUCGCUCUGUCUCAAAAAUAAUAAAUAAACGUUAAAAAAAAAUAAAAAAAAAAGA